CCUACGGGAGGCAGCAGUGGGGAAUAUUGCACAAUGGGGGAAACCCUGAUGCAGCGACGCCGCGUGAGUGAAGAAGUAUCUCGGUACGUAAAGCUCUAUCAGCAGGAAAGAAAAUGACGGUACCUGACUAAGAAGCCCCGGCUAACUACGUGCCAGCUGCGGCGGUAAUACGUAGGGGGCAGGCGUUAUCCGGAUUUACUGGGUGUAAAGGGAGCGUAGACGGCGCUGCAAGUCCGGAGUGAAAGCCCAUGGCUUAACCAUGGUACUGCUCUUGAAACUGUAGAGCUUGAGUGCGGGAGGGGCAGGCGGAAUUCGUGGUGUAGCGGUGAAAUGCGUAGAUAUUAGGAGGAACACCGGCGGCGAAGGCGGCCUGCUGGACCGUAACUGACGUUGAGGCUCGAAAGCGUGGGGAGCAAACAGGAUUAGAUACCCUAGUAGUC
Molecule: ribosomal RNA, 440 nt
Filed under: uncultured bacterium
Lineage: Bacteria
Description: partial 16S ribosomal RNA
Rfam family: Bacterial small subunit ribosomal RNA
Source: RNAcentral